This is a long non-coding RNA of Brassica napus (rape), 2994 nucleotides long. RefSeq lists it as uncharacterized. The transcript is spliced from 3 exons. The record is from RefSeq and is a predicted model, not a curated record. NCBI's taxonomy places the organism in Eukaryota, Viridiplantae, Streptophyta, Magnoliopsida, Brassicales, Brassicaceae.
GCUGUCAAUCAAAGCUUUGGUGUUCAUAUCAGCUUCCUAAGGUAUGGAUUUUGAUAUGUGUAAUAAAUUUGAAGCUUCUGGUACGGUUUAAGGUGUGAUGGUCCACUUUCUGCAGCAGAAGAACGUCAAACUUUUUCCUUCCUUUGACCACUCUAUUUAUAGUUUGACAAUUCUAAUUAUAGCGUUUUCACUUUGUUGUAGAUCUUCAGGUUGAUCAAGGAUUAAAUUCAAUAUAAUCAUUGUUUUAUUGAGAAUAAGAUUUACGCAAAUUUUCAAGCUAUGUUUUCUCGCAGCUCUACUAUUUCAUUGUUUAUUCUGCUUAAAUGCAUACGCAACAACUGAGAUCAUGUGAAUAUGUUAUGUUCUCAGGUAUUCGCUUUGGGCAAAAAUUGCAAGUAGAGAUGAUGAAGCUUUUGCAUAUGUUCAUAACUUCAUCAAAACCAGUGAUGGAUAUUCUGCUGAUAACGACAGUUGGAUUUUAUAUCGCUCUUGAUGGAGUCAAUCUUCUUGGUCAUGGUGCUCACAAAUAUUUGAACAACGUUGGUUAUUACUUAAUUCACUCAUUUUGUUAAUAAAUCUAAUAUACCACUCAACUUUAGUUUAGUUUUUCUGUAAAGACAAAGGAGGUCUACUUAGAGAUCCUGAGAAUUGCCACAAAUAUGGAAUGGGUUAUGUCUCACUCUGCAUGGCCGUAAGUGUUCUUCUCACUUCUUCAAGAUUUUAUCGCUGUAUAUAAUUUUUUUGAGGGACAUUUGCUAAAACCAACCCAAAAAUUCAAGUCAAAUGUAAAAGUAUACCCCACUUUCAGUCAAAUGCAAAACCAACCUAAAAGAGUGGUAAAAGUACUAUUUAACCCUUAUGACCAAACAAAAAAAAAUGUAUUUUACAUUUAUGUCCUUCGUAAGUCUACAUAUAACAGAAAGAAGUCUACAUACAUGUAGACUUCAUACGAACUCUACCUUGUAGAUUUAUUAUAUAGUCUACAUUUUAAUUUGAUCUAAUAAUUUAAUUUUAAAAAUGUAUAAAAAUAUUUGUUAUGAAAUUUUUAGUUAACCUUCAAUAUAAGGGUUAAUAUAAGGUUUAUAAAUUAAAAGUUUAUAUAAUUUAACAAUUUAAGACAAUAUAUAUUGAUUUGGUAACCAUGUGUUAGAACAUUGGUUAUGGUAUAGCAACAAAAGGUUCUAACAUAUUAUGUCUAUAAGGGUUAGAUUCUUAGGGUUAGAUUUUAGAUUGAGAUUUUUUUAUUAAUUUAAAUUUGUAUAUUAGUGUUGAGUAGUUUAUAUUUUGCAAAUUUUGAUAUUUGAUACAAUAGUUAGGAUUUUUUUGAUUAUCAAGCAAAUAUUUAGGGUUUGAGAUUUGUGAUUUAGGGUUUCGUAGACUUACAAUAAAGUCUACUUCACUGUAGACGAUUUUUUCUGUCUAUGUUAAUCGGUUUUACAAAAAAUAUUAUUUUAAAAUUAAAUUUAGUUCUUUAUGAAUAAAAAUGUGAAAUCAUAUAUUAUAACUAUUAAAAAAAAUUUAGUAAAUCAUAUAUUAAAAUUAUUAAAACAAUAAACUAUUAAAAUAGUUAAGAACAAAAGAAAUUUAAAUCAUAUAUUAUACUUAAAAAUAAUAAAAGAUAAAUAUCAAAAAAUCAUAGUAGACUUAUUUACAAGUCUACCAAACCGAAAAUAAUUUAUGCUAACCAGACUUUAACCAAAAUAGUUUAAUUUAACCAAACUUAAACCAGGAAAAUUUUAACCUAACCGGAUCACGUACCCCACAUAUAAAUACACUUUCUUUUGUGAAAUUAGGUUAAAAUCACAAAACCUAGCGCCGUUGCUCUUUCUCUCCGACAAGGCGAUUUCCGGCACGAUUUUCGGCACAUUUCCAGCGGUCUUCAAGUAGUUUCCAUCACCGUCCUGUCGUCGCUGCAACAUCUUCCCUCUGACAUGGUCUGUUUGAUGUCUAUUUUCAGAACUUCGUCAGAGUCAUGUCGUUGUUGUUGUCGUGUCAGAGUCGUGUCGGUUGUAGUCGUUGUUGUCGAUUUCGUAGUUGUUUGUUUGUUAAGUAAUCUUUUAAUUUUCUUUUGUUUCAGAUCUGGUUGGUUUCACGGCGAGCAGUGCUUCUGGUCUCAGAUGUGGGAGAUGUUGAAAGUAUCCACCCCGAAGACAACUCAUCACAAUGAUCUUGUAAGUUUAGCUCGUAAAUAUUCCCUGAACUUGGUAGUUCAUUAUUAGAGCUUUCUGAAUUUUCUAGUUUGGGUUGCACUAGCAGGUUAGCUUCUCAGCUCUUGGCAUGGCUCGGUCUUGGUAGGUUUCACUUUACGUUUCUCUUAAUCUGAAAAGCACAAAAAAAUUUGAAACUGUUUUUGUUUGUUUGUUUCUUUAACAGACGUUUAAGAGAGAUUCUCCACUGGUUGUAGACAUGACAACAUCAAUCCUGAAACUCUGAGACGAGAAAAUUGCAAGACGGGUGGAAGCUUUGUAUCCGAGUAUGCAGACCAUGUAUAUAUACUUCUCAAAUGCAGCACAUGAAGGAUAUUGCUGGUACUUUGGCGGCAGAAGAUGCUGGCCAAGUGGCUAAGCUUCGAUCAGUUCUGGAGUCCGUUGACCACAAAAGAAGAAAGAUUUUACAACAAAUGAGAGGUGAUGCACAUUUGCUUAACUUGGAAGAAGGCAGUCCUCCUAUUCAACCCAAGUUCUUCAGCCCCAUUCAUCAUAAAAUGUGGAGGUAACACCAACUCAGAGCUAGUGAUCAAGGCUGAUGCACGCGUUCAAGAGCCCAAAGGGAGGUGAACUUGAAAGAGUUAUCCCAAGAGAUUCUGUUUUAGUAAAGCAUGAGCUACCAAGGCUCUACAAUUUGGCGCAUUGUGAUCUUAUAUAUUAUUUUCGGCGACUGGCCAAAUUUGGCGCAUUUAUGCUACCUUUGGGGUCCAUAUCCAUUGUCUGUAUGUAACUUCACUUUGUAUAUUGCUAUCAUUCACAGAUCAAUAAUUGUUUACUUUCACAGCCA